GGAUACAUUGCCAAUCGCUGCUACUGAAAAUCAGAAACAUGGUUACUUAAAGAUCAAUUUUAAAGUAUAAUGUAACACCUUUUACUGAAAGGAUUACUUGUAUCUAACGAAUCUUCCAUUUCGUCCGAUUUUAAAGUGCUUAUAACUCCUUGUCAAAGACUUUAACAUUUUGAAUAGACAAGCAAACAAGAAUCAAUCACACUAAUUUCAUGCAGAGUCAGUUUACCGUAAAUGUGCAUGAUAAGCUAAUUUAGGAGUUUAAAUGAACGUCUUUCUCAUUUAAGGUGAACAAACCUUUUUACCUGUUAUAACAGAUUAAGUGAUAAUAACUGAAUGAUAUGUCUCACUUAUUUUAAUAAACUACAACACAUUUGUAUGUCAGUUAAAAUUUAUGACGUCCGAGUUAUCUGCCCAUCUAUGCAUAUCCGGUAUCUUCAUGUCAUGGACACUACAGAGUUAAUGAUGGAAGACGGAUCAGAUUAAAAUCAGUCUGCUGUCUGAUCAUAUAUCUUGUUUCAGUCGUUACGACAUCUCAAUUCGCUUCAUCGACC
This 551-nucleotide long non-coding RNA is filed under the name Mytilus galloprovincialis (Mediterranean mussel). Lineage: Eukaryota; Metazoa; Mollusca; Bivalvia; Mytilida; Mytilidae. The record is from RNAcentral.